Molecule: non-coding RNA, 93 nt
Organism: Armillaria borealis
Lineage: Eukaryota; Fungi; Basidiomycota; Agaricomycetes; Agaricales; Physalacriaceae
Source: the annotation of a GenBank genome assembly
CCUCUGGUAGUAUAUUGGUUAGUACACGCGCCUGUCAUUGCCCAUGUAGAGCCAAUCUCGCGUGAAAGCUGGGUUCGACUCCCAGCCAGAGAG